AACAAUUAUUGAACAUAAUUGACCUUGGUUGUGCUUUGGUCAUGGAUUAGGUAUUUUGGUUGUGCUCUUGAUUGUGGUGCUCAUCAAUUACGAAUUUAUAAUUUGUAUUAGGGGAGAGCCGUGUAGGUAAAACCAGGGUUUUACAGUCAUUCCCUCAUAAUGACAUUCAGCCUUUAUAGCCUGUUUGAGGCCUCACUGCUUGUCAUCAAUGGCAUAGCAGUUCUGAAUGAGGAGAGGUUCCUGUCAAAAUUGGGUGGAAAGGACCAGCUGCGCGGUUUCGGCGAGGAGCCUGGCGCCAAACAGCAGCUCAUCUCGCUCGUUCGCUCCGUGCGCACCGUGAUGCGAAUCCCUUUGAUAUUUCUCAACGUGUUAACAAUUCUAUUCAAGUUGAUACUCGGCUAGCGUCCCUGUGAAAACUUUCUUCGAGAGAAGAUCGUUCGCUCUGUGACGUCACUGGUCGGUGCCGGUGACGUCACUGAUUCCCAGACAGUGUCCAGUGGCGGUGGCGGUGAUAAUGACAGCACGGGAUCAGUGCUCCGGCAAACUAUGCAUCGUGUCACGAAAUCAAUUCAAAUGGUGAUCUGUUCCGCAUUGAAGCCCGUGACAGUUGAUCCAGUAAUCGUGUGAUGUGUUCGUCUUCACUGGACGUGCAGCGUUGGAGGUGGCCGGCAGGGUCCCUUCCUCCCCACCCGAAGUGCGCGAUGAAGUGAAACGCGACCGGUGGGUCGACAGUCCCGUCCGUACUGGCCAAGGUCUGUCGGCAGACCCGUACUGCAGGGUGCAGAGGCAGUCGGAUGGUCUGCUGGGCUUCGCUGGUCUGCUACCUAGUGCUCGUGGCAUGCCGCUGAGAAUAGGUUGAUUUUGUUGUGCCAGGCAGGGACAUUUGUAAUAAUAUAGUCAAAAUGUUUUUGCAUUUGGCCUCGAACCUAAGCGAUAUUCAUAAGAAGCGCGUGGUUGAUGAGUAAAACUGUGAACAGUUGUCAAAACAGAGUUGCUGUUUCUUGAAGAACUGAAAUAAUUGAGGUACAUUAUUUUAUUUUUUCAACCAAUGAAUACAAUGACAACUGUCGCAUGUCACCUUUA
This 1083-nucleotide unclassified non-coding RNA is filed under the name Amphibalanus amphitrite. RNAcentral's name for it is "immediate early response 3-interacting protein 1- like, transcript variant X1". The record is from RNAcentral. Lineage: Eukaryota; Metazoa; Arthropoda; Thecostraca; Balanomorpha; Balanidae.